RNAcentral lists this ribosomal RNA (768 nucleotides) under uncultured bacterium. RNAcentral's name for it is "bacterial SSU rRNA". It matches the Rfam family "Bacterial small subunit ribosomal RNA", at positions 28 to 776 of the family's 1533-position model. The record is from RNAcentral.
GACGAACGCUGGCGGCGUGCCUAAUACAUGCAAGUCGAGCGAAGUUUUUCUGGUGCUUGCACUAGAAAAACUUAGCGGCGAACGGGUGAGUAACACGUAAAGAACCUGCCUCAUAGACUGGGACAACUAUUGGAAGCGAUAGCUAAUACCGGAUAACAGCAUUAACUGCAUGGUUGAUGUUUAAAAGUUGGUUUUGCUAACACUAUGAGAUGGCUUUGCGGUGCAUUAGCUAGUUGGUGGGGUAAAGGCCUACCAAGGCGACGAUGCAUAGCCGACCUGAGAGGGUGAUCGGCCACACUGGGACUGAGACACGGCCCAGACUCCUACGGGAGGCAGCAGUAGGGAAUCUUCCGCAAUGGGCGAAAGCCUGACGGAGCAACGCCGCGUGAGUGAAGAAGGAUUUCGGUUCGUAAAGCUCUGUUGUUAGGGAAGAAUGAUUGUGUAGUAACUAUACACAGUAGAGACGGUACCUAACCAGAAAGCCACGGCUAACUACGUGCCAGCAGCCGCGGUAAUACGUAGGUGGCAAGCGUUGUCCGGAAUUAUUGGGCGUAAAGCGCGCGCAGGUGGUUUAAUAAGUCUGAUGUGAAAGCCCACGGCUCAACCGUGGAGGGUCAUUGGAAACUGUUAAACUUGAGUGCAGGAGAGAAAAGUGGAAUUCCUAGUGUAGCGGUGAAAUGCGUAGAGAUUAGGAGGAACACCAGUGGCGAAGGCGGCUUUUUGGCCUGUAACUGACACUGAGGCGCGAAAGCGUGGGGAGCAAACAGG